UAGGGAAUCUUCGGCAAUGGACGAAAGUCUGACCGAGCAACGCCGCGUGAGUGAAGAAGGUUUUCGGAUCGUAAAACUCUGUUGGUAGAGAAGAACGUUGGUGAGAGUGGAGAGCUCAUCAAGUGACGGUAACUACCCAGAAAGGGACGGCUAACUACGUGCAAG
This 165-nucleotide ribosomal RNA is filed under the name uncultured bacterium. RNAcentral's name for it is "partial 16S rRNA". It matches the Rfam family "Bacterial small subunit ribosomal RNA", at positions 355 to 511 of the family's 1533-position model. The record is from RNAcentral.